AUAUUGUGUUGAAACCGUGAAAAUUGUUCUGCUGAAUGCAGCUCUCUGUGUUGCCAGUGGAAAUGUGACAUCAUCUGUCCAUCAGAGCCCCAAAGCCAUGGGAGACCAACAGAUUA
Long non-coding RNA from Thalassophryne amazonica, 116 nucleotides. RefSeq lists it as uncharacterized. The record is from RefSeq and is a predicted model, not a curated record. NCBI's taxonomy places the organism in Eukaryota, Metazoa, Chordata, Actinopteri, Batrachoidiformes, Batrachoididae. The transcript has 3 exons.